Molecule: ribosomal RNA, 715 nt
Filed under: Lactifluus putidus
Lineage: Eukaryota; Fungi; Basidiomycota; Agaricomycetes; Russulales; Russulaceae
Description: partial large subunit ribosomal RNA
Rfam family: Eukaryotic large subunit ribosomal RNA
Source: RNAcentral
GCGUCGGGCCGUGCACAAGUCUCCUGGAAUGGAGCGUCAUAGAGGGUGAGAAUCCCGUCUCUGGCAUGGACUUCCGGUGCUUCUGUGAUGCGCUCUCAAAGAGUCGAGUUGUUUGGGAAUGCAGCUCAAAAUGGGUGGUGAACUCCAUCUAAAGCUAAAUAUUGGCGAGAGACCGAUAGCGAACAAGUACCGUGAGGGAAAGAUGAAAAGCACUUUGGAAAGAGAGUGAAACAGUACGUGAAAUUGUUGAAAGGGAAACGCUUGAAGUCAGUCGCGUCGACCGAGACUCAGCCUCGCCUUGGCUUGGUGUACUUCUCGGCUGACGGGCCAGCAUUGAUUUCGUCCCUCGGAUAAUGGCGAGAGAAAGGUGGCACCCCUCGUGGGUGUGUUAUAGUCUCCUGUCGCAUACGAGGGAUGGGAUCGAGGACCUCAGCAUGCACCUCUCGGUGCCGGGGCUUUGGCCCACGAUACGUGCUUAGGAUGUUGGCGUAAUGGCUUUAAACGACCCGUCUUGAAACACGGACCAAGGAGUCUAACAUGCCCGCGAGUGUUCGGGUGGAAAACCCGUGCGCGAAAUGAAAGUGAAAAGUUGGGACCUCUGUCGUGGAGGGCACCGACGCCCGGACCAGACCUUCUGUGACGGAUCUGCGGUAGAGCGUGCAUGUUGGGACCCGAAAGAUGGUGAACUAUGCCUGAAUAGGGUGAAGCCAGAGGA